RNAcentral lists this ribosomal RNA (509 nucleotides) under uncultured bacterium. Its description in RNAcentral is "partial 16S ribosomal RNA". It matches the Rfam family "Bacterial small subunit ribosomal RNA", at positions 29 to 507 of the family's 1533-position model. The record is from RNAcentral.
ACGAACGCUGGCGGCGUGCUUAACCCAUGCAAGUCGAACGCAGAGCGAUGGAAGCUUGCUUCUAUCAAUCUUAGUGGCGAACGGGUGAGUAACGCGUAAUCAACCUGCCCUUCAGAGGGGGACAACAGUUGGAAACGACUGCUAAUACCGCAUACGAUCUAAUCUCGGCAUCGAGGAUAGAUGAAAGGUGGCCUCUACAUGUAAGCUAUCACUGAAGGAGGGGAUUGCGUCUGAUUAGCUAGUUGGAGGGGUAACGGCCCACCAAGGCGAUGAUCAGUAGCCGGUCUGAGAGGAUGAACGGCCACAUUGGGACUGAGACACGGCCCAGACUCCUACGGGAGGCAGCAGUGGGGAAUCUUCCGCAAUGGACGAAAGUCUGACGGAGCAACGCCGCGUGAGCGAUGACGGCCUUCGGGUUGUAAAGCUCUGUUAAUCGGGACGAAAGGCCUUCUUGCGAAUAGUGAGAAGGAUUGACGGUACCGGAAUAGAAAGCCACGGCUAACUACGUG